RNAcentral lists this ribosomal RNA (198 nucleotides) under uncultured prokaryote. RNAcentral's name for it is "partial 16S ribosomal RNA". It matches the Rfam family "Bacterial small subunit ribosomal RNA", at positions 524 to 721 of the family's 1533-position model. The record is from RNAcentral.
UACGUAGGCAGCAAGCGUUGUUCGGAGUUACUGGGCGUAAAGAGUGCGUAGGCGGUUGACCAAGUCUGCUGUGAAAUCUCCCGGCUUAACUGGGAGGGUGCGGUGGAAACUGGUUGGCUUGAGAGUGGGAGAGGUAAGCGGAAUUCCUGGUGUAGCGGUGAAAUGCGUAGAUAUCGUCAAGAACACCGAUAGCGAAGG